UGUGACAGAAUCGUGUGGCUUUUACUCGUUGUGGUGACAUCACUCCGCACUCUCACAAAACCGAUCCAGAAAUAAGCCAAGUUCACGGCACCUCUCUCUCAUUAUUUUCAUCUUUCCCUUCCAAAUAACCUGGCCCACUUCAAUUGAGCUCUAGCGGGCGCCACUUCCUAUACCGAUGGCCUCCAUCACCACCACCACCAAAAAGGAAGCUCAGGCUCUACUUCUUGGUCGCUUUGAGGUGGGCAAGCUCCUCGGCCACGGCACCUUCGCCAAGGUCUACCAUGCCCGCAACGUCAACACCCAAGAGAGCGUCGCCAUCAAGGUCAUCGAUAAGGAGAAGAUCCUCAAGGUCGGCCUCACCGCCCACAUCAAGCGAGAGAUUUCAAUCCUCCGCCGCGUGCGCCACCCCAACAUCGUCCGUCUCUUCGAGGUCAUGGCCACCAAAUCCAAGAUCUACUUCGUCAUGGAGUUUGUCCGCGGCGGCGAGCUCUUCAACAAGGUAUCCAAGGGUCGUCUCAAGGAGGACGUCGCCCGCAAGUACUUCCAGCAAUUGAUCUCCGCCGUCUCCUUCUGCCACUCCCGUGGCGUCUUCCAUCGAGACCUCAAGCCCGAGAACCUCUUGCUCGACGAUAACGGCGAUCUCAAGGUCUCCGAUUUCGGUCUCAGCACAGUGUCCGAUCAGAUUCGCCAGGACGGUCUGUUCCACACGUUUUGUGGCACGCCUGCCUAUGUUGCCCCGGAGGUUUUGGGCGGAAAGGGUUACGAAGCCUCCAAAGUGGAUAUCUGGUCCUGUGGGGUUGUGCUCUUCGUUUUGAUGGCCGGCUAUUUGCCCUUUCACGACCAAAACAUUAUGGCCAUGUACAAGAAGAUUUACAAGGGCGAAUUUCGAUGCCCGAGAUGGUUCUCUCCGUCGCUGACUCGGCUCCUAACCCGUCUUCUGGAUACGAACCCGGAGACUCGGAUUACAAUCCCGGAUAUCAUGGAGAAUAAGUGGUUCAAAAAAGGGUUUAAGCACAUCAAAUUCUAUAUCGAGGAUGACAAGCUUUGUAAUGUCGUGGAUGAGGAGGAGAAGCAGGGAAAGGAGGACGACGAAAAUUCGGGCUCGGACCAAUCAGAAUCGGACUCGGAAUCCGGGUUCCAGGCGAGGAGGAGGGUGGGUACAUUGGCGAGACCGGCGAGCUUGAACGCGUUCGAUAUCAUAUCGUUCUCGCGCGGGUUCGAUCUCUCUGGGUUGUUCGAGGAGGGAGGUGAGGAGGCCAGGUUCGUAUCGGGCGCACCGGUAUCGAAGAUUAUAUCGAAACUGGAGGAGAUCGCGACACUGGUCAGCUUCACGGUAAGGAAGAAGGAUUGCGGGGUGAGCUUGGAGGGGUCGACCGGGGGCGUGAAGGGACCACUAACCAUUGGCGCUGAGAUUUUCGAGUUGACUCCGUCGUUGGUUGUAGUGGAGGUGAGGAAGAAAGGAGGAGAUAGAGGAGAAUACGAGGAGUUCUAUAAUAGGGAAUUGAAACCCGGUUUGCAGAAUUUGAUGCUGGAGGAAGCUGCCUCUUCCCUUACAUCGACUUCACUUCCACUACCUUCAUUUCUCCCUUCGGAUACUGAAUAGAGGAAUCGAGAGAAGUGAGGGAGAAGGGAAGAUUACUUUCCACCUUCCUAUAGUUGUGGAGUUAUGCAACCAAGUUGCGAUCGAUUCCUCUGAUUUCUUUAGUCGUGCAACAUUAAUUGCGAUGCAAUCUAAUGUGGUUACUUCGGGUUUCCUUCUGAAGGAAUGAAAGAAGGAAUCACUUUAAUAUGGUGAUAUGUUGGUGAUCAGGAUGGACACUUCUGAGCAAAUGAAAGAGGAAAUAUCACCUAAAUUUGGUGAUAUUUCCAAAUAUUGCACAUUGUUCAAUCAAAUGCAUGCAGAGCCAGAAACCCUUUGAAUCUGAUAAUAGCAUAUUGUUUGCAUAUUAACCGUCUUGGUCCGAGUCUGGCUGGGUCUCUCAGGCUACAUUGCUUUUGUUCAAUGGAGAUUGAAGGGAUGCAUUUUCGAUUUUGAGUCAUUGAGACGUUGGAUCAAGAAACGGGCGUGGAAAUAUCAAGGAUUGUUGACAGGGGUAGACCCACAUGCAUAAAAAAAUCAGCUCCCCUAGGAAUAGUCGUGAAUGGUAGUCGGCGUGCAGAUGCAAGUGUCACGUCAAUGUUAAUCAAAAAUAAAAAAAAAAAAGAAAAAAAAAAAGAAGAAAAUUAAAGGAGAAGCCUCGCAGGCGCAUUUUCGAUGAAAAAACUCAA
Molecule: RNA transcript, 2268 nt
Organism: Carya illinoinensis
Lineage: Eukaryota; Viridiplantae; Streptophyta; Magnoliopsida; Fagales; Juglandaceae
Gene name: CBL-interacting serine/threonine-protein kinase 12-like
Exons: 3
Source: RefSeq, a predicted model, not a curated record